RNAcentral lists this ribosomal RNA (440 nucleotides) under uncultured bacterium. RNAcentral describes it as "partial 16S ribosomal RNA". It matches the Rfam family "Bacterial small subunit ribosomal RNA", at positions 338 to 795 of the family's 1533-position model. The record is from RNAcentral.
CCUACGGGAGGCUGCAGUGGGGAAUAUUGGACAAUGGGGGAAACCCUGAUGCAGCGACGCCGCGUGAGUGAAGAAGUAUUUCGGUAUGUAAAGCUCUAUCAGCAGGGAAGAAAAUGACGGUACCUGACUAAGAAGCCCCGGCUAACUACGUGCCAGCAGCCGCGGUAAUACGUAGGGGGCAAGCGUUAUCCGGAUUUACUGGGUGUAAAGGGAGCGUAGACGGUGCAGCAAGUCUGAUGUGAAAGGUCGGGGCUUAACCACGGGACUGCAUUGGAAACUGUUGAACUGGAGUACAGGAGAGGUAAGCGGAAUUCCUAGUGUAGCGGUGAAAUGCGUAGAUAUUAGGAGGAACACCAGUGGCGAAGGCGGCUUACUGGACUGUAACUGACGUUGAGGCUCGAAAGCGUGGGGAGCAAACAGGAUUAGAUACCCUUGUAGUC